Molecule: ribosomal RNA, 1389 nt
Filed under: metagenome
Description: bacterial SSU rRNA
Rfam family: Bacterial small subunit ribosomal RNA
Source: RNAcentral
AGAGUUUGAUCCUGGCUCAGAGUGAACACUGGCGGUAUGCUUAACACAUGCAAGUCGAACGCGAAAGUCUUCGGACAAGUAGAGUGGCGAACGGGUGAGUAAUACAUAGUUCACCUGCCCUAUAGUUUGGGAUAACAGUUAGAAAUGACUGCUAAUACCAAAUAUUCCGGUAACGGGAAAGAUUUAUCGCUAUGGGAUGGGACUAUGGCCUAUCAGCUUGUUGGUAAGGUAAUGGCUUACCAAGGCUAUGACGGGUAACUGGUCUGAGAGGAUGACCAGUCACACUGGAACUGAAACACGGUCCAGACUCCUACGGGAGGCAGCAGUGAGGAAUCUUGGGCAAUGGGCGCAAGCCUGACCCAGCAAUACCGCGUGGAGGAUGACGCUUUUCGGAGUGUAAACUCCUUUUCUACCAGAAGAUAAUGACGGUAUGGUAGGAAUAAGCACCGGCUAACUCCGUGCCAGCAGCCGCGGUAAUACGGAGGGUGCAAGUGUUACUCGGAAUCACUGGGCGUAAAGAGUGCGUAGGCGGCUCAAUAAGUCUUGUGUGAAAUCCUACAGCUCAACUGUAGAACUGCAUGAGAAACUAUUGGACUCGAGCGUGGAAGAGGCAGGUGGAAUUCCCGGUGUAGGGGUAAAAUCCGUAGAGAUCGGGAGGAAUACCUAUAGCGAAAGCGACCUGCUGGUACACUGCUGACGCUCAUGCACGAAAGCGUGGGGAGCAAACAGGAUUAGAUACCCUGGUAGUCCACGCCCUAAACGAUGAAUGCUAGUUAUAAUGAUGUUCGCAUUGUUGUAAUGCAGCUAACGCAUUAAGCAUUCCGCCUGGGGAGUACGGUCGCAAGAUUAAAACUCAAAGGAAUAGACGGGGACCCGCACAAGCGGUGGAGCAUGUGGUUUAAUUCGAAACAUACGCGAAGAACCUUACCUGGACUUGACAUCCUAAGAAUUUUUUAGAGAUAAGAAAGUGCCUUUCGGGGAGCUUAGUGACAGGUGCUGCAUGGUUGUCGUCAGCUCGUGUCGUGAGAUGUUGGGUUAAGUCCCGUAACGAGUGCAACCCUCGUCUUUAGUUGCCAUCAGUUUGGCUGGGCACUCUAAAGAGACUGCCUUCGCAAGAAGGAGGAAGGUGAGGAUGACGUCAAAUCAUCAUGGCCCUUAUGUCCAGGGCGACACACGUGCUACAAUGAGAUGUACAAAGAGUUGCUAUACCGCGAGGUGGAGCUAAUCUCUAAAACAUCUCCCAGUUCGGAUUGUAGUCUGCAACUCGACUGCAUGAAGUUGGAAUCGCUAGUAAUCGUGAAUCAGCCAUGUCACGGUGAAUACGUUCCCGGGUCUUGUACUCACCGCCCGUCACACCAUGGGAGUUGAGUUCACCUUAAGUCGGGAUGC